RNAcentral lists this ribosomal RNA (441 nucleotides) under uncultured bacterium. RNAcentral's name for it is "partial 16S ribosomal RNA". It matches the Rfam family "Bacterial small subunit ribosomal RNA", at positions 338 to 795 of the family's 1533-position model. The record is from RNAcentral.
GCUACGGGUGGCAGCAGUGGGGAAUAUUGGGCAAUGGAGGAAACUCUGACCCAGCAACGCCGCGUGAAGGAUGAAGGUUUUCGGAUUGUAAACUUCUGUUGCGAGGGAUGAAGAAUGACGGUACCUCGUGAGGAAGCCCCGGCAAACUACGUGCCAGCCGCCGCGGUAAUACGUAUGGGGAAAGCUUUGGCGGGAAUGACUGGGCGUAAAGGGAGCGGAGGAGGCCUUUUAAGUUAUCUGUGAAGGACCCAGGCUUAACAGAGGAACUGCAUAUAACAAUGGAGGGCUGGAGUGCAGGAGAGGUAAGAGGAAUUUCUAGUGUAGCGGUGGAAUGCGUAGAUAUUAGGAAGAACACCGGAGGCGAAGGCGGCUUACUGGACUGUAACUGACGCUGAGGCUCGAAAGCGUGGGGAGCAAACAGGAUUAGAUACCCCAGUAGUC